RNAcentral lists this ribosomal RNA (486 nucleotides) under uncultured bacterium. Its description in RNAcentral is "partial 16S ribosomal RNA". It matches the Rfam family "Bacterial small subunit ribosomal RNA", at positions 28 to 507 of the family's 1533-position model. The record is from RNAcentral.
GAUGAACGCUGGCGGCGUGCCUAAUACAUGCAAGUCGAACGCUGGAAGUCUAGCUUGCUAGAUUGAAGGAGUAGCGGACGGGUGAGUAAUACAUAAGCAACCUACCCACGAAGACUGGGAUAAUCUCUGGAAACGGGGACUAAUACCGGAUAGGUAAUCGGAAGGCAUCUUCUGAUUAUUAAAGGUUAAAAACAAUGGUGGAUGGGCUUAUGGCGCAUUAGUUAGUUGGUGAGGUAACGGCCCACCAAGACGAUGAUGCGUAGCCGGCCUGAGAGGGUGAACGGCCACAUUGGGACUGAGACACGGCCCAGACUCCUACGGGAGGCAGCAGUAGGGAAUUUUCGGCAAUGGGGGAAACCCUGACCGAGCAACGCCGCGUGAGUGAUGACGGCCUUCGGGUUGUAAAGCUCUGUUGUAAGGGAAGAACGGUAGAUAGAGAAUAUCUAAAUGACGGUACCUUACCAGAAAGCCACGGCUAACUACGUG